GUCCACACUGUAAACGAUGAUCACUCGAUGUUGGCGAUACACAGCCAGCGUCUUAGCAAAAGCGAUAAGUGAUCCACCUGGGGAGUACGCCGGCAACGGUGAAACUCAAAGGAAUUGACGGGGUCCGCACAAGCGGUGGAGCAUGUGGUUUAAUUUCGAUGAUACGCGAGGAACCUUACCCUGGGCGUAGAAUGCCUUUGGUCGGGUACGAGAGAUGUAUCGUUCCGCAAGGACAAAGAGCAAGGUGCUGCAUGGCUGUCGU
This 262-nucleotide ribosomal RNA is filed under the name uncultured bacterium. RNAcentral's name for it is "partial 16S ribosomal RNA". It matches the Rfam family "Bacterial small subunit ribosomal RNA", at positions 793 to 1055 of the family's 1533-position model. The record is from RNAcentral.